Molecule: ribosomal RNA, 253 nt
Filed under: uncultured bacterium
Lineage: Bacteria
Description: partial 16S ribosomal RNA
Rfam family: Bacterial small subunit ribosomal RNA
Source: RNAcentral
UACGGAGGAUGCAAGCGUUAUCCGGAAUGAUUGGGCGUAAAGCGUCCGCAGGUGGCGAUGUAAGUCUGCUGUUAAAGAGUGAGGCUCAACCUCAUAAGAGCAGUGGAAACUACAUAGCUAGAGUGCGGUAGGGGCAGAGGGAAUUCCUGGUGUAGCGGUGAAAUGCGUAGAUAUCAGGAGGAACACCGGUGGCGAAGGCGGCUAUCUGGACAGAAACUGACGCUGAGGCGCGAAAGCUAGGGGAGCAAACAGG